GACGAACGCUGGCGGCGUGCUUAACACAUGCAAGUCGAGCGAUGAAACACCUUCGGGUGCGGAUUAGCGGCGAACGGGUGAGGAACACGUGAGGAAUCUGCCUUCCACUCUGGGAUAACUCCGGGAAACCGGGGCUAAUACCGGAUACUUUCAACUGGCGGCAUCGCCGGUUGAAGAAAGUUUUUCGGUGGAAGAUGACCUCGCGGCCUAUCAGCUUGUUGGUGAGGUAAAGGCUCACCAAGGCGACGACGGGUAGCCGGCCUGAGAGGGCGACCGGCCACACUGGGACUGAGACACGGCCCAGACUCCUACGGGAGGCAGCAGUGGGGAAUAUUGGACAAUGGGGGCAACCCUGAUCCAGCCAUGCCGCGUGAGUGAUGAAGGCCUUAGGGUUGUAAAGCUCUUUUACCCGGGACGAUAAUGACUGUACCGGGAGAAUAAGCACCGGCUAACUACGUGCCAGCAGCCGCGGUAA
Molecule: ribosomal RNA, 475 nt
Filed under: uncultured bacterium
Lineage: Bacteria
Description: partial 16S ribosomal RNA
Rfam family: Bacterial small subunit ribosomal RNA
Source: RNAcentral